This 3855-nucleotide long non-coding RNA is filed under the name Anolis carolinensis (green anole). RNAcentral describes it as "lncRNA (ENSACAG00000037088.1)". Lineage: Eukaryota; Metazoa; Chordata; Lepidosauria; Squamata; Anolidae. The record is from RNAcentral.
AUGAUUCUCGAUAGGCGUUCCGUCGGCCCGGCUACUUCCGGGAAAAUGGCGUCGGCCGGGAGAGCGGCUUUGGCGGCGGUUGCCAGGGUCUCCGCCAAGCGAGGGGCGGCCGGGCUGGGCGCUCCCCGGGCCCGCAGGCAUAGGGCGGGACCCUGGCUGGCCGCCGCCGCCGCCACCUCCUCCCUCAUCGGAGGGGCCGCCUUGUUGGACGCUUCUUUCCGAAGGUGGCGAGGGGGCCCUGGAGGCUUGACAGUCCUGGCUCAGGAAACAACUGAUUUUAAUGACUGAACAAACAGUGCUGUCUUAUGAGGAGAACUGCCUAAUUCAUAGCCAGUUUUUGUAGAGCCAACCAAAUACCUAUGAAGUUUUGGAAUCUCCAAAUCUCUUCAUGGAAAAUAUUACAAACAGUAAGUUAUGUGUAUGUAUCCUGAUGUGGAAGAUAUCAGACUCUCAACCAUGCCAAUUUUUAGAGAGGAUCACAAUCAGUCCCCUUCCCUUUCUCUUUCUCCUAACAAGUUGAUUCUUUCUGUUUGUUUUCCCAUUAUUUUUUUCAUUGUCUUCCACCUCCCAAUUUCUGGUGGAAUGGCUGAAGGUGAUUUGCUUCAGAGUGUUUUUAAACUGAGCUAAAAUACAUGUAAGAUCUUUGUUAUAACAGAGCAGAAACUGCGCUUUAACAUUGCAGAAACACAGCUUUGCUGCUCCGUAUUGUGUUUUAGGCUUGAUCUACACUGCCAUAUAAUCCAGUUUCAGAAUGCAGAUUAACUGCAUUGAAUUGGAUUAUAUGGCAAAGUAGAUUCAUAUGGCAGAAUAGAUUCAUAUAAUCCCAAUUUCAAUGCAUUUAAUCUUGCAAUUCUGAAACUGGAUUAUAUGACAGUGUAGAUCCAGCCGUAGUAUACUUACAUUAUGGUUGCUAUGAAGUGAGGCUGAGCUUGAAAAUGACUAGGAGAGAAACAGCCUGUGCUUGUAUUCUCAAUGGUUUUCAAUAUUGCAGAAACAAGACUAUUGAGUAUUGAAAUGGUACAAAGGUUUUUCCUUCUGAGGCAGCAAUUAAAUUUUGUAUAUUUGAGACAAGGAGUUCCAUAGACCCCAGUUCUCAAUGUUUUUGUGGGGGGAAGAGAGGAGAUAACACGUCAUUGUUCCGUCAUAUUCUUACAUUACAUAAAUGAUUUAUACAUUAAAAACUUAAGAUGUCUGUCACUGAUAAGACAUGUGUGCCAAGUAAUUGUUUUAUUUUGGUUUUUAUGCCCUUUGGUUCCUAUUUAAAAUUUUACUUUAGUAGAAAUAAUAACAUACAACUUUACAACCCAUCCAAUUCCUUGAGAUUAUGGCACUAGUUCUUAUAUUGCUGUUUUCAUAGAAUCAUAGAAUCAUAGAGUUGGAAGAGACCCCAUGGGCCAUCCAGUCCAACCCCCCUGCAAGAUGCAGACUUGCUGAAUUACAAGUAUACCUCAGUUAAUGAAGUGGAUAUGUUCUAGGACACAACUUCUUUAACAGAAAAUUUGGUACAAAAGGCAAAAUAACAUGGAAAUAAUAUUUGAUAUGUUUCAGCAAAAAAUUAAAAACUAGCAAAUGUAUGUGUGCAUGUAAAAUGAAAUACACAGAUUGUAGCAAACAUUCUGCUAUAACCAAACUCACAAUAUCUGUUUGUGCUGUCCUACUUCAUUGUCUUCCUGAAGUGAUGCUGCUAAAAAAACUUCUAGAUUGAGAACCAGGAUAUAAAGGGUGAGCAGGUGUUAAAAAACUUUAUUAAAAGGAGCCUCUUUAUCAGAAGCUUUGUUAAAGUACUUGGCUAAAAGUUUACUAGUCUGAUUGUUUUUGUUCAGAAAUGGCAUACGCAGUAUUAUUUUUAUGCUAAUAGCAACAAUUCCAUCUCUGUUAUUUCACGUUUGGGUGAAACUCUGAAAUCAGCGUAGUUGCAAAAAUUGAUAUUAUAAUCCUGAUCUACAUUGAGCAGAAGCUAGUUCAGCUUUAACGUACUUGGUUUCUCCAGUUUCUCCCACAUCAAAGUUGGAAAAGUAGCUUUCACAGAUGCAACUGUAGCUCCAGAGUGGACUCUCUCUUAAUUUUUGAGCUAAAAUAUGGUGGUGUGUAUAACUGGAUAAUUUCAGAAGGAUACAAUCAUCUGGAAAUGGUCUAUAAAGUUUUUUUGCCUAAACAUUUGUCACAUUAAUGUUUUAUUGGUGUGCCACAAGGAAUGAGACUUAAAUAUAUUACAAGCUGAAGUUGUAGAUUAAUAUUUAUGUUAACAGAAUAACAGCCACUUUAGAUGUUAACAACUAGCAUUCAACUAUUUUCAGUGGAGUUUCAGGGAGAAUCUGUAUGUUGGCUCUUUCACGGCAGCAAGGACUCAGAUUUGGUGAUGAAUGCAAGGAAAUCCUGGGUUUAUUCCCAAAGUGUUCCUAGUUAAACAGAUUUAGGAUAUUGGGGAGUUACUGCAACUUAUGUUAAUAGAAAUAGAAACCUGAUAAAAAUAGUAACAGAUCUAACUCAUCUUUUUAAAAAAAUUACAGUUUAAUGUUGUUUUGGAUAGUGCAUCAGCACUUGUAAGUUUUCAGUCUAACAGCAUUAAUACUGGUAUGUACAACAGAACACAGCCUACUGUACGUGAAGUUACACCAAAAAACAAACAAACAACUAUUUAGUACAGUAGGCUGUUUUCUGUUGUACAUACCAGUAUUAAUGUUGUUAGACUGAAAACUUACAAGUGCUGGUGCACUAUCCAAAACAACAUUAAACUGUAAAGUUUGUUUAAAAAAAAAAGAUGAGCUAGAUCUGUUACUAUUUUUGUCAGGUUUCUAUUUCUACACAAAAAAUAUAUAUAUGUUAUGUAUGUGACCUUAAAAUGGUUAACUGCAAUCCUUUAAGACAGAGGAUCCCAUACCACAGUAUAAAUAACGAUAUAGGUGCCAACCACAAAUGAGCAGAAAAUAACUUGUCUGACUUUAAAGUCAUGUGAUUUGAUUGCAUCACUUUUGAAAAAUAGCUGAGAAGGGAAGGGUUGAAUUUAUGGAAUACAGCAGGACUAUGUUUGUCUUUAACACCUAUGAGUUUGAGAGGGAGGGAAUGUUAAUGAAAACUCAAGCUUUUUAACAGCUGGGACUUUAAGAAAAAGCACCUGAGAUCUUGAAGGUGGCAGUAAAAUCACACCAGCUUUUAACUAGUCAGUCUUUUAAAAAUUAACUGUGGUAAAAACCUGAAGGUAGUUUUGAGAAUGAGAUAGAAAACCACAUCUAAUGUACCAUUUAGUAUAAAGUAGUAACAAUUUGGCAUAGAGAUGCAUUGGGAAAAUAGCAUGUAUUGAACAAACAAAUAGUGCAAUAAAGGAAACAUUUCUUCUACAUAAAAAAUAUUUGGGGCCAAAAAUAAUGAUAUGAGUGUUUUUCAAAACCUCAAUGUUGCCAACGUCUGCUAAAGUACUUUUUUGAAAGCUAUAAUAGCAGAUGUUUUGGCUUUUUCCUACACAUAUAGGAAAUAGGUAUAUUGUGGACUUGGUGUAUUUGUGGAACCAGCAGUGUAACAGUAUGAUAGAACUGUGGUGGAAAACACGAUUCUCUGCAUCUUGUUAUAUUUAUAUUAUCACUCCUAUAUGGGUUUUUAUUAUGUGAUUUGCAUAAUCCAUUAGAGUUUUAUAUACACUGCCUCUCUUUAUAAAAAAAAGUCUCUAUCUGUAAUCCUAUGAUUUAGUUUGUCGAAGAAUUAAAUAUGCACAUUGAUAAAACUAGGAUUGGUGUUUUUUGCUUCUGUUUAUUUAUUGCUUCCAGAUAGUUAUUUUAAUUUCAACACCUUUCACAUUUCUUAUUUUUGUUGUGGAUGUCAAACAUCUAUGCAUCAAAUUUGUUGUAGUAGAGCCUGUGA